RNAcentral lists this ribosomal RNA (1528 nucleotides) under Klebsiella pneumoniae. RNAcentral describes it as "bacterial SSU rRNA". It matches the Rfam family "Bacterial small subunit ribosomal RNA". The record is from RNAcentral. Lineage: Bacteria; Pseudomonadati; Pseudomonadota; Gammaproteobacteria; Enterobacterales; Enterobacteriaceae. RNAcentral also lists the same sequence under 1 other name.
AGAGUUUGAUCAUGGCUCAGAUUGAACGCUGGCGGCAGGCCUAACACAUGCAAGUCGAGCGGUAGCACAGAGAGCUUGCUCUCGGGUGACGAGCGGCGGACGGGUGAGUAAUGUCUGGGAAACUGCCUGAUGGAGGGGGAUAACUACUGGAAACGGUAGCUAAUACCGCAUAACGUCGCAAGACCAAAGUGGGGGACCUUCGGGCCUCAUGCCAUCAGAUGUGCCCAGAUGGGAUUAGCUAGUAGGUGGGGUAACGGCUCACCUAGGCGACGAUCCCUAGCUGGUCUGAGAGGAUGACCAGCCACACUGGAACUGAGACACGGUCCAGACUCCUACGGGAGGCAGCAGUGGGGAAUAUUGCACAAUGGGCGCAAGCCUGAUGCAGCCAUGCCGCGUGUGUGAAGAAGGCCUUCGGGUUGUAAAGCACUUUCAGCGGGGAGGAAGGCGGUGAGGUUAAUAACCUCAUCGAUUGACGUUACCCGCAGAAGAAGCACCGGCUAACUCCGUGCCAGCAGCCGCGGUAAUACGGAGGGUGCAAGCGUUAAUCGGAAUUACUGGGCGUAAAGCGCACGCAGGCGGUCUGUCAAGUCGGAUGUGAAAUCCCCGGGCUUAACCUGGGAACUGCAUUCGAAACUGGCAGGCUAGAGUCUUGUAGAGGGGGGUAGAAUUCCAGGUGUAGCGGUGAAAUGCGUAGAGAUCUGGAGGAAUACCGGUGGCGAAGGCGGCCCCCUGGACAAAGACUGACGCUCAGGUGCGAAAGCGUGGGGAGCAAACAGGAUUAGAUACCCUGGUAGUCCACGCCGUAAACGAUGUCGAUUUGGAGGUUGUGCCCUUGAGGCGUGGCUUCCGGAGCUAACGCGUUAAAUCGACCGCCUGGGGAGUACGGCCGCAAGGUUAAAACUCAAAUGAAUUGACGGGGGCCCGCACAAGCGGUGGAGCAUGUGGUUUAAUUCGAUGCAACGCGAAGAACCUUACCUGGUCUUGACAUCCACAGAACUUUCCAGAGAUGGAUUGGUGCCUUCGGGAACUGUGAGACAGGUGCUGCAUGGCUGUCGUCAGCUCGUGUUGUGAAAUGUUGGGUUAAGUCCCGCAACGAGCGCAACCCUUAUCCUUUGUUGCCAGCGGUUCGGCCGGGAACUCAAAGGAGACUGCCAGUGAUAAACUGGAGGAAGGUGGGGAUGACGUCAAGUCAUCAUGGCCCUUACGACCAGGGCUACACACGUGCUACAAUGGCAUAUACAAAGAGAAGCGACCUCGCGAGAGCAAGCGGACCUCAUAAAGUAUGUCGUAGUCCGGAUUGGAGUCUGCAACUCGACUCCAUGAAGUCGGAAUCGCUAGUAAUCGUAGAUCAGAAUGCUACGGUGAAUACGUUCCCGGGCCUUGUACACACCGCCCGUCACACCAUGGGAGUGGGUUGCAAAAGAAGUAGGUAGCUUAACCUUCGGGAGGGCGCUUACCACUUUGUGAUUCAUGACUGGGGUGAAGUCGUAACAAGGUAACCGUAGGGGAACCUGCGGUUGGAUCACCU